Molecule: ribosomal RNA, 230 nt
Filed under: uncultured bacterium
Lineage: Bacteria
Description: partial 16S ribosomal RNA
Rfam family: Bacterial small subunit ribosomal RNA
Source: RNAcentral
UACAACCUGCCCUUCAGAGGGGGGUAACAACGGGGAACGGUUGCUAAUACCGCGUACGAUUCACAGGCGGCAUCGCUUGUGAAUGAAAGGUGGCCUCUAUAUAUAAGCUAUCGCUGAAGGAGGGGAUUGCGUCUGAUUAGCUAGUUGGAGGGGUAACGGCCCACCAAGGCAAUGAUCAGUAGCCGGUCUGAGAGGAUGAACGGCCACAUUGGGACUGAGACACGGCCCAA